UAGGGAAUCUUCCACAAUGGACGCAAGUCUGAUGGAGCAACGCCGCGUGAGUGAAGAAGGUUUUCGGACCGUAAAGCUCUGUUGUUGGUGAAGAAGGGUAGAGGUAGUAACUGGCCUUUAUUUGACGGUAAUCAACCAGAAAGUCACGGCUAACUACGUGCCAGCAGCCGCGGUAAUACGUAGGUGCAAGCGUUGUCCGGAUUUAUUGGGCGUAAAGCGAGCGCAGGCGGAAGAAUAAGUCUGAUGUGAAAGCCCUCGGCUUAACCGAGGAAUUGCAUCGGAAACUGUUUUCUUGAGUGCAGAAGAGGAGAGUAGAACUCCAUGUGUAGCGGUGGAAUGCGUAGAUAUAUGGAAGAAUACCAGUGGCGAAGGCGGCUCUCUGGUCUGCAACUGACGCUGAGGCUCGAAAGCAUGGGUAGCGAACAGGAUUAGAUACCCUGGUAGUCCAUGCCGU
This 454-nucleotide ribosomal RNA is filed under the name uncultured bacterium. RNAcentral describes it as "partial 16S ribosomal RNA". It matches the Rfam family "Bacterial small subunit ribosomal RNA", at positions 355 to 803 of the family's 1533-position model. The record is from RNAcentral.